GUCUAUGGACAUGCCACCCUGAAAAAGCCCGAUCCUGACUGAUCUCGGAAGCAAAACAGUGUCAGGCCUGGUUAGUAUUUGGGUGGGAGACCACCUAGAAGACCAGCUGCUAUAGGUG
RNAcentral lists this ribosomal RNA (118 nucleotides) under Pteropus alecto (black flying fox). Lineage: Eukaryota; Metazoa; Chordata; Mammalia; Chiroptera; Pteropodidae. The record is from RNAcentral.